GAUGAACGCUGGCGGCGUGCCUAAUACAUGCAAGUCGAGCGAACAGAUGAGGAGCUUGCUCCUCUGACGUUAGCGGCGGACGGGUGAGUAACACGUGGAUAACCUACCUAUAAGACUGGGAUAACUUCGGGAAACCGGGGCUAAUACCGGAUAAUAUAUUGAACCGCAUGGUUCAAUAGUGAAAGACGGUUUCGCUGUCACUUAUAGAUGGAUCCGCGCCGCAUUAGCUAGUUGGUAAGGUAACGGCUUACCAAGGCAACGAUGCGUAGCCGACCUGAGAGGGUGAUCGGCCACACUGGAACUGAGACACGGUCCAGACUCCUACGGGAGGCAGCAGUAGGGAAUCUUCCGCAAUGGGCGAAAGCCUGACGGAGCAACGCCGCGUGAGUGAUGAAGGUCUUCGGAUCGUAAAACUCUGUUAUUAGGGAAGAACAAAUGUGUAAGUAACUAUGCACGUCUUGGCGGUACCUAAUCAGAAAGCCACGGCUAACUACGUG
This 497-nucleotide ribosomal RNA is filed under the name uncultured bacterium. RNAcentral's name for it is "partial 16S ribosomal RNA". It matches the Rfam family "Bacterial small subunit ribosomal RNA", at positions 28 to 507 of the family's 1533-position model. The record is from RNAcentral.